AGCUUAUUUUUUUGUCAUUAUUUAGUUAUAUUUGCUGGUUAAUAUAUAUUCUUUGUUCUAUAUAAAAGGCUCGAUUUUGCUUCAAAGCGAGUGAUAGCUUGGCCAAACGAUUUCUGCUCCAAUUGCUUGGCAAAAAAUGGAGGAACAUAGGAUAAAGCUUUGGAAUGAGUUUUAUGAUCUGAGGUUGAGUAAAACCGAGAUCAUAAAUAAUACACCAGAAGAUAUUGCUCCUGAUCAAUGGGCUUUAUUCGUAGAAUAUCGUUUGAAGCCUGGAACUCAGAAUCUUUGUAAGAGAAAUCAAGAAAUUCGG
Arachis ipaensis is the source of this 310-nucleotide non-coding RNA. The record is from RefSeq and is a predicted model, not a curated record. Lineage: Eukaryota; Viridiplantae; Streptophyta; Magnoliopsida; Fabales; Fabaceae.